GCCCGCUACAGAAACUUAAAGGAAUUGACGGGGCCCGCACAAGCGGUGGAGCAUGUGGUUUAAUUCGAUGAUACGCGAGGAACCUUACCUGGGCUCAAAUGUAUGUUGACGUAUUCUGAAAGGGAUACUUCUUCGGACAAUAUACAAGGUGCUGCAUGGUUGUCGUCAGCUCGUGCCGUGAGGUGUCGGGUUAAGUCCCAUAACGAGCGCAACCCCUACCUUUAGUUGCCAUCAGGUUAAGCUGGGGACUCUAAAGGAACUGCCUACGCAAGUAGUGAGGAAGGCGGGGAUGACGUCAAAUCAGCACGGCCCUUACGUCCAGGGCUACACACGUGCUACAAUGGCCGAUACAGAGGGCAGCUACCUGGUGACAGGAUGCAAAUCUCCAAAGUCGGUCUCAGUUCGGAUCGGAGUCUGCAACCCGACUCCGUGAAGUUGGAUUCGCUAGUAAUCGCGCAUCAGCCAUGGCGCGGUGAAUACGUUCCCGGGCCUU
This 493-nucleotide ribosomal RNA is filed under the name uncultured Sphingobacteriales bacterium. RNAcentral describes it as "bacterial SSU rRNA". It matches the Rfam family "Bacterial small subunit ribosomal RNA", at positions 903 to 1382 of the family's 1533-position model. Lineage: Bacteria; Pseudomonadati; Bacteroidota; Sphingobacteriia; Sphingobacteriales. The record is from RNAcentral.